RNAcentral lists this small nucleolar RNA (123 nucleotides) under Loxodonta africana (African savanna elephant). The record is from RNAcentral. Lineage: Eukaryota; Metazoa; Chordata; Mammalia; Proboscidea; Elephantidae.
CCGCUUUUCAGAACACUUGCUGGGCCUGAUUGGUGGCCUGGAUAGCCAUCAGGGAAGACGACCAGUGCUUUAUGGGUCAGAUGGCAGCAGGAUGUGCUGUUGGUCUCAAUCGGUGGGACAGGC